This 484-nucleotide ribosomal RNA is filed under the name uncultured bacterium. RNAcentral's name for it is "partial 16S ribosomal RNA". It matches the Rfam family "Bacterial small subunit ribosomal RNA", at positions 29 to 523 of the family's 1533-position model. The record is from RNAcentral.
AGUGAACGCUGGCGGCGUGCUUAACACAUGCAAGUCGAACGAGAACGGGUUAUAGCUUGCUAUAAUUGUCAGCUAAGUGGCGCACGGGUGAGUAAUGUAUAGGUAAUAUGCCUCUUACUAAGGGAUAACAAAUGGAAACGUUUGCUAAUACCUUAUACUCCUUAUUAACAGAAGUUAAUAAGGGAAAGAUUUAUUGGUAAGAGAUUAGCCUGUAUUGUAUCAGUUAGUUGGUGGGGUAAUGGCUUACCAAGACUAUGACACAUAACUGGUUUGAGAGGAUGAUCAGUCACACUGGAACUGAGACACGGUCCAGACUCCUACGGGAGGCAGCAGUGGGGAAUAUUGCACAAUGGACGAAAGUCUGAUGCAGCAACGCCGCGUGGAGGAUGACACGUUUCGGUGCGUAAACUCCUUUUAUAUGAGAGGAUAAUGACGGUAUUAUAUGAAUAAGCACCGGCUAACUCCGUGCCAGCCGCCGCCGUAA